Cygnus olor (mute swan) is the source of this 1607-nucleotide long non-coding RNA. RefSeq lists it as uncharacterized. NCBI's taxonomy places the organism in Eukaryota, Metazoa, Chordata, Aves, Anseriformes, Anatidae. The record is from RefSeq and is a predicted model, not a curated record. The transcript is spliced from 3 exons.
GCAGCGGAGGGAGGGAGGAUGACAGAAAGCAAGGUUUUUGCAUCCAAAGCGUCGGCAGCAGCAGAGAGACGGCACCUGAUGGCUGAGGGGGGACUAACGGAUGCAUUUCGGGGAGCUGGAGUGACCGGCCUUGCCGCCGAUCCUGCAUUCGUGGCCUUGGAUUUCCAGCAGAACAAGCCUCUCCCCGUGCCAAAGGCGCCUUGGCUUUAUGGUUUUUCAGUGUUACGCUUUGCAGCACUGGCAGGUUUGCAGCCAAAUCCUUCUUCUGCAGAGCUAGCCUGACGCUGCGUGUGGCUCACCACCCGGCAGGCAGAUACGACGCCCAGGAGCAACCUUCUCCGUGCCACCAAUGAGGGUGUGAAUCGAUGCAGUUAACUGUUCCCGAGGGUACUCGCAGCGAGAUACAGGCUUCUCUGGCUGUGGAAAUCAUGACCCAGAGCAUGGUUGAAGGCAGAGCAUCUUCCUCUUCUUGCCACCAAACAGCAGCACCUAACAAGUUUAAUCUUUUUCAAGCCCACCCAAAGACUGUUGAAAAAACUGAAAUGUCUGUUUUCUGCUGGAUAUCCUCUGCAUGAGAGAAUAGACAAGAAGAGUCUGGUGAGAAGAGGCUCAGGACAGGAGCUCUGCAUUCAUUUCUUCGCUUGCCACGAGCCACCCGGGUUCCUGAGCUGUAUGCCCCUGGAUGUGCAUUGCCUGGGGAUGUGUCUUGGCUCCUCACCUGUGCAAUGACGGUGUAAAUGUUUCCCUGAGCUCCCAGGCUCUGCAGAGGUUGUGAACACUAGCAUACGCAAGCCAACUGACUAACACUAUUGUAAGAGACCAGUCUUCAUCCAACAACUGAUAAAUCUUUGAUAAAGCUCAGCUGUACACUUACCACCUGUACCCCCCUAUCCUAAAAUUGUUAUUUAAAUGAUAGUUUGAAUAGAAUUCUUCCCCCAAGUCUUGUGACUGUAUUCCUAUCCCACUUAUCCACAAUGCAGUUUUCAGAAUUAGAGCUUUUUGUUUACUUGGGAUACUUUUUAUAAAUUAACCAUUGAUUACUUAAUGACGUAAGGUUUCUGAAUCAUCAGUAGAAUGCUUACAGAAUUGUAUUUCCUUUUGCAUCAUGCAGAAAAGAAGUCAGAUCUGUAGCUGUGCUGUCCUAAACAAGAACAAUACCAUCAGUGUCAAGCUUGAGCCAGAGAGAAACUUGCACAAGUAAUCCAAAAUCGGUGACCAGGAUGCUACGAGAACCCAGGCAGGCCAGCCAAGCUUCUGCACUGAAGACAGUAAAACUAAGAUGGGGAUACGACAUUCAUAAAAAUCACCUCUUUGAGAUACUUGGAGAACUUGAUUUCAUGUCUGUAUUUAUGCUCUUAAUGCUAAUGUGAGCUAGAACAUUGUUAUUACAUAUGCUUGACCAUAUCAAAAUGGUAGGUAAUUAGUUUCAGUUAUGUAGAAUAUCUGAGGGGUGUUUAAUUUAUUAGAUUUUUAAUUGGUCUCUGUGUGUAAUGGGCUAGAAAAAAAAGGUAAGAAAUGAGGCUGUAUAAUUCAUCUGAAAAAAAUCCUUUUUCCUCCCCUCAUUCCUUCCUUUUCAACUGUUGAGAUUUCUUUUUGUUAUUUAUAAC